This is a long non-coding RNA of Suricata suricatta (meerkat), 358 nucleotides long. RefSeq lists it as uncharacterized. The transcript is spliced from 3 exons. Lineage: Eukaryota; Metazoa; Chordata; Mammalia; Carnivora; Herpestidae. The record is from RefSeq and is a predicted model, not a curated record.
GGCCCGCUGGUGAGGGCAACCCCAGUUGAGCGUAGAGCAGGAGGACAGGGGUGUCUCCAUUUCCAAGGGACCUUUACACUCGGACCCUUACGUGAGAGAAGACUGGACUCCUGUCUCACGGUAUUUUUCCAAACUGAAUAUCACACAGUACGCUGGAUUCUCCCCAAAGGAAUCUCAGCAUCAUGCUUUGAGGCCAGCAAGCAAAAGCUGUCGUUUGGGACUGAGUGACUGAGAGGCUCAUGGGACAAGGAAAUAGACAACAUAGUUGAUGGUGCUGGAAAAAGACGUCAUGGGCAACAUUCCCGUCGUUGGCUUAUUCUCCAAACAGCCCCCACUUGUAUUUUGCUAAUCUCUCUCG